UAAGGAAUAUUGCUCAAUGGGAGAAAUCCUGAAGCAGCAACGCCGCGUGGAGGAUGAAGGGUCUAUGACUUGUAAACUCCUGUAAAGAAGGAAAAAAUUCCCAUUUGAUGGGAGAUGAUGGUACUUCUGGAGUAAGCCCCGGCUAACUACGUGCCAGCAGCCGCGGUAAUACGUAGGGGGCAAGCGUUGUCCGGAUUUACUGGGUGUAAAGGGUGCUCAGGCGGAUUUGUAAGUCAGAGGUGAAAUCUUACAGCUUAACUGUGAAACUGCCUUUGAUACUGCAAGCCUAGAGUAUGGAAGAGNGUGAUGGAAUAUCUGGUGUAGCAGUGAAAUGCGUAGAUAUCAGAUAGAACACCAAUGGCGAAGGCAGUCACUUGGUCCAUUACUGACGCUAAAGCACGAAAGCGUGGGUAGCAAACA
This 420-nucleotide ribosomal RNA is filed under the name uncultured bacterium. RNAcentral's name for it is "bacterial SSU rRNA". It matches the Rfam family "Bacterial small subunit ribosomal RNA", at positions 355 to 774 of the family's 1533-position model. The record is from RNAcentral.